UACGUAGGGUCCGAGCGUUGUCCGGAAUUAUUGGGCGUAAAGAGCUCGUAGGCGGUUUGUCGCGUCUGCCGUGAAAGUCCGGGGCUCAACUCCGGAUCUGCGGUGGGUACGGGCAGACUAGAGUGAUGUAGGGGAGACUGGAAUUCCUGGUGUAGCGGUGAAAUGCGCAGAUAUCGGGAGGAACACCGAUGGCGAAGGCAGGUCUCUGGGCAUUAACUGACGCUGAGGAGCGAAAGCAUGGGGAGCGAACAGG
This 253-nucleotide ribosomal RNA is filed under the name uncultured bacterium. Its description in RNAcentral is "partial 16S ribosomal RNA". It matches the Rfam family "Bacterial small subunit ribosomal RNA", at positions 524 to 776 of the family's 1533-position model. The record is from RNAcentral.